RNAcentral lists this ribosomal RNA (301 nucleotides) under uncultured bacterium. RNAcentral describes it as "partial 16S ribosomal RNA". It matches the Rfam family "Bacterial small subunit ribosomal RNA", at positions 509 to 807 of the family's 1533-position model. The record is from RNAcentral.
CAGUAGCCGCGGUAAUACGAAGGGGGCUAGCGUUGCUCGGAAUUACUGGGCGUAAAGGGCGCGUAGGCGGAUGUUUAAGUCAGAGGUGAAAGCCCAGGGCUCAACCUUGGAACUGCCUUUGAUACUGGACAUCUUGAGUGUGGGAGAGGUGAGUGGAACUCCGAGUGUAGAGGUGAAAUUCGUAGAUAUUCGGAAGAACACCAGUGGCGAAGGCGACUCACUGGCCCAUUACUGACGCUGAGGCUCGAAAGCGUGGGGAGCAAACAGGAUUAGAUACCCCCGUAGUCCCUGUCUCUUAUAC